CCUGGCCUGGCCUGGCCUCAGGGCCCCUGCUGCCCUUAGAGGAGGGUGGGCAAUUAUUUUGGGCGAGCCAUGACAGGCAGCCAGGGGCAGAUAAAUGUUAAUUUUCUAAAAUUUUUUUGAAUUAAAAAAAAUUCUAAAAGGCCUGGCGGGCUGCAUCCGGCCUGUGGGCCGCUUUGUGCCCACCCCUGCAUUAGAGCCACCAUUGCCAGGCUGUGGCAGCCCCUCCCCCACAUCACCUGCAGCCCCAGGCUUGCUCCCGCCUGAAGGGACGUUGCUGUUUUGUGCUAAACGUGUCUGCCUCGCUAGCCAAGCGUCCCCUUCCUCACCGGUGCAGUCACGCUAGAAGCAAAGUAAAGCUCCUGCUUAUGAGAUGCUGAGCCUGAGGGCCCGACUCGCUCUUGCGCGCCCUUGGCUAUGUGUCUGCACGGCCCUGGGUCUCUUGCCUGAGCCUAGGAGCAGCAGGAGGCAACACGCCACCAUCUUCGAGUUUUUGGUCCCUUAACGUGCCUCCCUGAGGUGAUGAGGUGAAUGCCAUUUUGGCUGCUCCCGGGUGUACACCACCCUUCCCUCUGCCCAGCUCAGUGAAUCCAGUUCAGCGUCUGCACUAUUUAAAAACACCGAUAGGAAAAGCAGAAAGGGCUUGCACGUGCUUGACAUCACGAUGGCUGGAAGCUCUUGGUUGCUGUUAGUGAAAAAGGGGAAAAAAAAAUCCCUUUUCGCAUAGAUAACUUAGCCACAAUUCUUCGAGUAACACGUGGCAGGGCACCAGACCGUGCAUUUGGAUUCAGGGAGGGGAGCGGCAAAGACGAUGAAGGAGAUGAAAGAGGUUUGACCUUGUGACAAAGAGCUCAUAUCCAAGCAAGGAGAACUUUACAUAGAAGUGCUCUUGAGUCCUCCCUCUGCAUUGACCUUGCUCUGACAGACAACCUGACGUUUUGCUCAAAGGAUCUGCUGUUGGGGACCAUGCAGACGAGUGCCUUUCCUUUGAGAGCUGUUGCAGAUGAUUUUGCUGCACGACACAACAGAGAGGACAGCUGCAGAGUGGACUCCUGAGGCCCGGGCUAGUCAGCACCUAAAGCAAGUUGAGUCACCAAGCUGAGGUGGCGCCUCCAGGCAGGACCAGGCAAGCAUCUUGGGAGACAGGCCUGUGGAGAGACAUGUGGGCUCUUGCUGUGUACUCCUUCCAAGCGAUUGCAGUCUAAGAUGGCAAGAUCUGAAAGGGGCAAAAGAAGCAGAAUGGCGUGUCCAAAGUCCCAGAGAUGACAUAUCAAGGGAGCAGCAGGAACCGCCAGCAAAUCAUACUUAAUCUCCACCCCCCUGUCUGGAUCGAUCUCACCAAAAGCACACGUUCCCAAGAGCCUGCUAUAUGCCUGACCCCAGCUUCAUCAAUAUCGCCAUUGCUAAUUAGGAACAGCAGCCAGGAACAGCGCUUCUUCCCUAUUAGGAUUCCCAGAGCUGGAGCAAGAUAUUCAGCAAAGGAGAAGAAGCCUCCAUUUGCAGAUGAGGAGAAGCCAGCUGAGAUGCUGGGGCCUCUACAAAGUUCUGCAAAACACAGUACUAUUCCCCAGACAAGCUGGGCUUGUGCUUUUUUUAAAUGUCUUCCAGGUGCAUAAAAUCCACCUGAAAGUUUCUCCUUAGAGAGGGUCACUGCUUUUUCCAGUCUUGGUAUUGUUAAUACUAAAAUGUGAAAUCUUGUUUCUAAUGAGCGUAAAAGGAGGAGCUGCUGACACUCUUGGAUUGAGCCGGAUGUAAAAUUUCUGACCAGUUUUCUGUUGGAAAAAGCUGAUUGAACAAAACUGAAGUGUUUUCCCAGACCAUAUCAAUUUUGUCAAAAUGUUUGUAGGGAAUUACUGAAACAUUUUGCAUGAAUAUGAUAUGAUAGGGUAUGGUACGGUACAACAUGAUGCAAAUGUUGCAGCAAGGUUGCAAUGAAAUACUUCUUGAAAUAUUUUGUUCAGUGAAAAACUCUGAGCUUUUGCCUUUCUGCCCAGAUUCAGGGCAGAACCAAAUUUUGAAAUCUUGGCAUUUCCAAUGGGAUGGAUAUGCUGAAUUGCAGCCAGCUGUAGUUGUGGGGAACCUGUCUGGGAGCUCAGGCCUUGCUUGACAGGGCCAUUUUACUUCCCUGCUGCCACGUGAACAGACACAAAGAGUGGUAUCCCUGUCUGCCUUUUCACUUCAGGUGGGAAUUCACAUAUGUCAGCCCUAUACCUGCAUGCUGAUCACUGGCCUCUACGCAGCACCUCAGCUUUACUGAUUGAUGCAUAUAGGGCUGGAUCCAAAGUUCUCCCAGUCCCUGCCUACCCAUUUUGCAUGCUGCGAAGAGUGGAUGGGUGCAUCAUGCAGAGGCAUAAAGGAACAGUUUGUGUCCCUUUAUACUCCUGAGUGGGUCAGUGCCAGGCCCAGUCUGAGUAGGGAUUGCAUUGCUAGGCCCUGCAUCCUCAGGAUCCAGUUUGGUUAGUUGCCUUGGAAUCAGCUUCCUCAUGCAGGGGGCCUUAGUGAUGGCAGACAAGGCUGUAGAAUCAGAAUGAAGGGAUCCUGGGCUCGAAUGGGACCUCCAGGGUCACCUACUCCAGGAGGCACAGUUGCAGUGUGGGCUAUUGUUGGCCCAUUCCAGAUACACCCAUCCAACAUCUUCUUGAAAACCUCCAGGGAAGGAGAUUCUACAACUUCCCCAGGCAGCUGGUUCCAUUGUCCUCUUGCUUAUACCAUUAGGAAGCUUUUCCUGAGAUUUGAUCUAAAUCUGCCUUGCUGCAGUUUCAACCCAUUGCCAUAUGACUGCCUGGUGUCAUAAGAGAGAAGCGUUGUCCUUCCUCUUUAUAGUUGGCUUCCAAGUAUUUGAAAACUGCCAUCGUGUCUCCUGUAAUCUCUUUUUCUCCAGAUUAAACACACCACUUUCUCUUCACCUUUCCUCAUACAGCUUGCCCUCCAAAUUAGUCAUCA
Molecule: long non-coding RNA, 2940 nt
Organism: Alligator mississippiensis (American alligator)
Lineage: Eukaryota; Metazoa; Chordata; Crocodylia; Alligatoridae
Exons: 3
Source: RefSeq, a predicted model, not a curated record